Haliotis rufescens (red abalone) is the source of this 620-nucleotide long non-coding RNA. RefSeq lists it as uncharacterized. The record is from RefSeq and is a predicted model, not a curated record. The transcript is spliced from 3 exons. NCBI's taxonomy places the organism in Eukaryota, Metazoa, Mollusca, Gastropoda, Lepetellida, Haliotidae.
GUAGAAGUGGUCCAAUGAUGGGAGUGUCUUGCUUUCUUGAACUUAGUCUGCGACAGCCAGAUUGACAUGAGAAGGUCCCACCUCUAACGUCUUGAUAGCAUCCCAUGCUUUGAGUAAGUCAACUUGAUGUGGGAGGGUAGCGUCCGAAGUGAUGAAGACGUAGGCUUUUACAACUAUGGUGACCCACGGUGGUGAGAUGAUAUACCUAGAACUGGGAUCCGAACCAACAGUUAUAGGUUUUCUGGCGUGCCCCUGGGACGCAACUCUGCGACGACCGAAUAAGCAAACAAUCUUCACUGGUGUGGUACACACAAACAUGAAUCAUAAUCAGGGCUAAUAUAGGAUUCGAACCCAAGAACAUAGGAUUCUGGCACGCCUGAAGGGACGCAACUCUGCACAGCGAACUUCGGCGUCUGCGACGUCUGUGCCAGUCCUGCUGAUUUCACUUCACAACCAUGACUACCCCAGCUCUCGACAUAUCCACCCCAUCCCACAGCAUAAGCACCACAGCUCUCACCAUACUAAAGCGUCCCAACCCCCAGCGUAACUAUACCACCGCUCACACCAUGAUAACCCCCUCCAUCCACAACACACCCGUGAAGAUUCCGGGGUAGAAUAGG